CGGAGCGUAGCGCAGCCCGGUUAGCGCACCGGUCUGGGGGACCGGGGGUCGGGAGUUCAAAUCUCCCCGCUCCGACCA
RNAcentral lists this transfer RNA (78 nucleotides) under Methyloceanibacter caenitepidi. RNAcentral describes it as "tRNA-Pro (GGG) (tRNA-Pro-GGG-1-1)". It matches the Rfam family "tRNA". From Rfam's summary of the family: Transfer RNA (tRNA) molecules are approximately 80 nucleotides in length. Their secondary structure includes four short double-helical elements and three loops (D, anti-codon, and T loops). RNAcentral also lists the same sequence under 9 other names. Lineage: Bacteria; Pseudomonadati; Pseudomonadota; Alphaproteobacteria; Hyphomicrobiales; Hyphomicrobiaceae. The record is from RNAcentral.